AUAUUUUUUAACACAGAUACGUCAUGGUGCAUAUGCACAGGUUUAAAAAGGAAAGCUGCUGGUUCAUUGUGUGAGUCUGGAGAAAGUGUCAGUGGAAUCCAGAAACUCUGCAGGAAACCUAGGAGAAAAAAAGAAAGAAAACGGGUAUUUUAUUCCAACAGAUACUCCUGGAUGAAUACAGGUACAGAUGAGAGAAACUUGGCUUUUGGUUACCUUUUGGUUUUGGUUUAUUUACAUUGCAUUGUUAUCUGGAAGAUGGAAAUGGGGAAGAAACACCAGUAUUGCAACAUGUGAUUAGGGGUUCAAGAUCUUAUCAUAUGUCUGGGAUUCUUACCUGGCCGGGAUGCCUGGAGGGACC
Polypterus senegalus (gray bichir) is the source of this 358-nucleotide long non-coding RNA. RefSeq lists it as uncharacterized. The record is from RefSeq and is a predicted model, not a curated record. The transcript has 4 exons. NCBI's taxonomy places the organism in Eukaryota, Metazoa, Chordata, Cladistia, Polypteriformes, Polypteridae.